RNAcentral lists this long non-coding RNA (1245 nucleotides) under Canis lupus familiaris (dog). RNAcentral describes it as "lncRNA (ENSCAFG00845012972.1)". The record is from RNAcentral. Lineage: Eukaryota; Metazoa; Chordata; Mammalia; Carnivora; Canidae.
CUGUGCAACUUUCUGUGUGUUACAAUCUCCCUGGGCACGGACCCCUGCAACACUGCUGUGCUUCUUAGCCUCGGGGUCCGAGCCCCUGCUCCGCUGUGUCGGGUACACUUGGACCCAAGCUCCAGCUUGCAAAUAAACCCUCAUGUACUUGCAGCGGCGUCGGCUCCUCGGCGGUUUCUCGGAUGCGCGGUCUUGGGCACAACAGGGGCAGCGUCAGGUGACGCGGCAGGUGCAGCGCGAUCACCUGCUGCCGGCGCGGUGCAGAGGCCGGUUAGCAGGGGACGCCACCGUGCGCCACGUCCGGGGAGGACCCGCCGCCCGCUCUCCCCUCCCCUCCCCUCCCCUCCGGGCCCGCCGGCCCCCAGCUCCCCGCCGCCCCGCCGCCGUCCACCCGCCCCGCCGCCCCGCAGUCCACCCGCCGGCCGUCCGCGCUCCCGAGCCAGCGCCGGGCGCGAGGUGGCGGUGGCGUGUGCUGACGUCAUAUGGGCCGCCCGCCUCCGAUUGGCCACCGCCGCCUCACCAGACCGCGAGCGGACGGGCGCGCGGGCGGGGCGGGGCGCGCGGAGGCCACGCCCCCCGACGGCGGGCCGGGCGGGGUCACGUGACCCGGGCCCCACCGCCCGCCUUAUAAGCCGCGCCGCGCGCCCCGCGCCACGGGCCCAACUCCAGGCGGUCCCGGCCGCGACCUCUUCCCCCCUGAGCCCGCGCGCGGGCGCCCCCCCGGACAGGUACGCGGGGCGCGUGGGAGACUCCGGGGCCGAGCUCGGGGCGGGAGCCGGGGGCGCGGGGCCUGGGGCGGUCCGGGCGCCCCCACCCACCCCCGGGAGCCGCGGGGACCCGGGCCCGGCCCCGGGGCGGAGCUGCACGCCUGACCCCCGCGGGUCGGCUCGGCGCCCCCCUGCCCCGGGCCCGGGUAACUUGCGCUGCGCGCGGACGGCGUGUGGGAAACUUUGGGGCCGGACGGGCCAGCGCUGGAGGCGCGUGCGGAGGGCACCGGGGCCGCUCGAUGCUGGCAGCCGGUCCCAGACGCCUGGCCGCCGCCGCCGCCGCCGCCGCCGCCCGCAGCCCCGCGCCACCCAGCGGGCACCCGGCGGGACCUGGGCGCGGGCCGUGCCGUCUGCGGGCGCCCGGAGCCCCGGCUUCCCGCGCGAGCCGCGAGGCCCGCACCUCGCCCUCCGCCCGACGCCGCCCGGGCCCGGCUCCCCAGCUCCCCAGCUCCCCAGCUCCCCUCGCCCGCGAGCGUGA